This 90-nucleotide transfer RNA is filed under the name Hypoxylon rubiginosum. RNAcentral describes it as "tRNA-Val". RNAcentral also lists the same sequence under 4 other names. The record is from RNAcentral. Lineage: Eukaryota; Fungi; Ascomycota; Sordariomycetes; Xylariales; Hypoxylaceae.
AGUCGCGUGGUCUAAUGGUUAUGAUUUCUCGUUCACAUUGAUGUGUUCAAAGAUCCGAGAAGGUUCCGUGUUCGAUCCACGGCGUGACUA